Molecule: non-coding RNA, 89 nt
Organism: Gossypium raimondii (Peruvian cotton)
Lineage: Eukaryota; Viridiplantae; Streptophyta; Magnoliopsida; Malvales; Malvaceae
Source: Rfam
AAUCCAUGAUGAGGACACCUUUUCAAAAGAUCCUUAAAUCUCUCCCAUGCAUCAUAUGAUCCCAAGUCGUGAUAGAACCUAAUGGCAAU